GACGAACCGUCCAAACGUUAUUCGGAAUUACUGGGCGUAAAGGGCGCGUAGGCGGCCUGCUAAGUCGAACGUGAAAUCCCCGAGCUCAACUCGGGAACUGCGUCCGAUACUGACAGGCUUGAAUCCGGGAGAGGGAUGCGGAAUUCCAGGUGUAGCGGUGAAAUGCGUAGAUAUCUGGAGGAACACCGGUGGCGAAGGCGGCAUCCUGGACCGGCAUUGACGCUGAGGCGCGAAAGCUAGGGGAGCGAACGGG
This 253-nucleotide ribosomal RNA is filed under the name uncultured bacterium. RNAcentral's name for it is "partial 16S ribosomal RNA". It matches the Rfam family "Bacterial small subunit ribosomal RNA", at positions 524 to 776 of the family's 1533-position model. The record is from RNAcentral.